GAAAUGCGAUAAGUAGUGUGAAUUGCAGAAUUCGGUGAAUCAUCGAAUCUUUGAACGCACAUUGCGCCCCUUGGUAUUCCAUGGGGCAUGCCUGUUCGAGCGUCAUUUGUACCCUCAAGCUCUGCUUGGUGUUGGGUGUUUGUCCCCGUCUCUGCGCGUGGACUCGCCCCAAAGUGAUUGGCAGCCGGCGUACUGGUCCCGGAGCGCAGCACAUGUCGCGCAAACGAGUGCCUUGGUACGGCGGCGUCCAUAAGCCCCUCUCUCACGCUCUUGACCUCGGAUCAGGUAGGGAUACCCGCUGAACUUAAGC
Molecule: unclassified non-coding RNA, 310 nt
Filed under: plant metagenome
Description: partial contains 5.8S ribosomal RNA, internal transcribed spacer 2, and large subunit ribosomal RNA
Rfam family: 5.8S ribosomal RNA (bases 1-105)
Source: RNAcentral